CCGAUCAAAACCCAUCGCUUCAAGCUGAGUAUCAGUGUAGAAGGAAACAAGAGAUGAAGAGAGAGAGAAUGAAGCAAAAUGAAAUGGCCAUCAAUAAUCAUCAUUAUGAAUACAAGCAUACAAGGAAAAGAAUAUAUGAUGAUAAUAGUAGCAAUAAGAUUGUCAUCAAUAACCAUCUUGCAACUUGCUUUAUGAUGCAAGAAUCUCAAAUGAGCAAUUAAUUUAACACAAGUAAAACCACUAUAAAAUUAAUCCACCUCUAGACCACAACCUCACAUCCAAAACAAUCCCCAGUAAUUAAAAGAAAACAUAAUUGAAGUACAAGCAGCCAAGAAGUAAUAUGAUCUUCCCCCAAGUAGUUUAUUUUAAAGAUGAUUUACGAGCCCCAAAGAAUUGACUUUAGGAAGGGA
RNAcentral lists this unclassified non-coding RNA (410 nucleotides) under Hevea brasiliensis (rubber tree). The record is from RNAcentral. Lineage: Eukaryota; Viridiplantae; Streptophyta; Magnoliopsida; Malpighiales; Euphorbiaceae.